RNA transcript from Cercocebus atys (sooty mangabey), 3092 nucleotides. It is a transcript of the gene named intraflagellar transport 81, with no coding region annotated. The record is from RefSeq and is a predicted model, not a curated record. NCBI's taxonomy places the organism in Eukaryota, Metazoa, Chordata, Mammalia, Primates, Cercopithecidae. The transcript is spliced from 21 exons.
GUAACUCCACGGCCUAGCAACCGUUGCCAAGGAGCUCGACUCUAGGAGCCGUCUAGAGCCCGGGCGCCUCCUGGGGGGUGGGGAAACGGUUUCGUGAGGAGGAUUUGAGUUAAAAUUAUAAGACCUAAUUAUGAGUGAUCAAAUUAAAUUCAUUGUGGACAGUCUCAAUAAGGAGCCCUUUAGGAAGAACUAUAAUUUAAUCACGUUUGAUUCCUUGGAGCCAAUGCAACUAUUACAAGUUCUCAGUGAUGUUCUGGCUGAGAUUGACCCAAAGCAACUUGUGGAUUUAAGAGAGGAGAUGCCAGAGCAGACAGCCAAACGAAUGUUGAGCGUUCUUGGUAUUCUUAAAUACAAACCUUCAGGAAAUGCCACAGACAUGAGUACUUUUCGUCAGGGUUUGGUGAUUGGAAGUAAACCUGUAAUUUACCCAGUGCUCCACUGGCUUCUUCAGAGGACUAACGAACUGAAGAAAAGAGCAUAUUUAGCUCGUUUUUUAAUAAAACUUGAGGUACCAAGUGAGUUUCUUCAGGAUGAAACUGUGGCUGACACUAAUAAACAGUAUGAAGAGUUAAUGGAAGCCUUUAAAACUUUGCAUAAAGAAUAUGAGCAGCUCAAAGCAUCUGGAUUUUCUACAGCAGAAAUAAGAAAGGAUAUCAGUGCAAUGGAAGAAGAAAAGGAUCAACUCAUUAAGAGAGUUGAACAUCUGAAGAAGAGGGUGGAGACAGCUCAGAAUUAUCAAUGGAUGCUUAAAAUAGCAAGGCAACUUCGAGUUGAAAAAGAGAGAGAAGAAUAUCUUGCACAACAGAAACAGGAACAAAAGAAUCAGCUAUUUCAUGCAGUGCAAAGAUUGCAAAGAGUACAAAACCAGCUGAAAAGCAUGCGCCAAGCUGCAGCAGAUGCAAAACCUGAAAGUUUAAUGAAGAGGCUAGAGGAGGAGAUAAAAUUUAAUUUAUAUAUGGUAACUGAAAAAUUUCCUAAAGAAUUAGAAAAUAAGAAAAAGGAAUUACAUUUUUUACAAAAAGUAGUUUCAGAGCCAGCAAUGGGCCAUUCUGAUCUUCUUGAACUUGAAUCUAAAAUAAAUGAAAUAAACACAGAAAUUAACCAGCUGAUUGAAAAGAAAAUGAUGAGAAAUGAGCCCAUUGAAGGCAAACUCUCACUGUAUAGGCAACAGGCAUCUAUCAUUUCCCGUAAAAAAGAAGCCAAAGCUGAAGAACUUCAGGAGGCCAAGGAGAAGUUAGCCAGCCUAGAGAGAGAAGCAUCAUUAAAGAGAAAUCAGACCCGUGAAUUCGAUGGUACUGAAGUUUUAAAGGGAGAUGAGUUCAAACGAUAUGUCAGUAAACUUCGAAGCAAGAGUACAGUUUUCAAAAAGAAACAUCAGAUAAUAGCUGAACUUAAAGCUGAAUUCGGUCUUUUGCAGAGGACUGAAGAACUUCUUAAGCAACGUCAUGAAAAUAUUCAACAACAACUGCAAACUAUGGAGGAGAAAAAGGGUAUAUCCGGAUAUAGUUACACCCAGGAAGAGCUAGAAAGAGUAUCUGCACUGAAGAGUGAAGUUGAUGAAAUGAAAGGACGAACAUUGGAUGAUAUGUCUGAAAUGGUGAAAAAACUGAAUUCACUGGUAUCUGAAAAGAAGUCAGCUCUUGCCUCAGUUAUAAAAGAGCUACGACAGUUGCGUCAAAAAUGUCAAGAACUGACCCAGGAGUGUGAUGAAAAGAAAUCCCAGUAUGAUAGCUGUGCAGCAGGCCUCGAAAGCAAUCGGUCUAAAUUAGAACAGGAAGUUAGAAGACUCCGUGAAGAAUGUCUUCAAGAAGAAAGUAGAUACCAUUAUACAAAUUGUAUGAUUAAGAACCUAGAAGUUCAACUUCGUCGUGCUACUGAUGAGAUGAAGGCAUAUAUCUCUUCUGAUCAACAAGAAAAAAGAAAGGCAAUUAGGGAACAGUAUACCAAAAAUAUUGCUGAACAAGAAAACCUUGGAAAGAAACUUCGGGAAAAACAAAAAGUUGUACGAGAAAGUCAUGGUCCAAAUAUGAAACAAGCAAAAAUGUGGCGUGAUUUGCAACAAUUAAUGGAAUGUAAGAAACAGUGCUUUCUGAAACAACAAAGCCAAACUUCCAUUGGUCAGAAUACACAGGAAAAGUAAAGUUUGCUUUUCCUGGUGUCAGAGAUGCCUCCAGCUACACAACUUUGGAACUGUGCUUUUUAAAGGCUUGAAAAAACAAAAUAAGAUGAUCUACAGAAUGUUCCUAAGAUCUGUAGUGCUCAAGGAUGAUUUUAAUGAGGAAAAUGUCUCAGAGAAAAGGGAUCCAGGACACCCAGAUGCUAAUCAGGAGCUCUUAUAGGAGCCUAGAAAGCAGCUGCAGACUCUAGGAGUAUCUUGACUUCUACCUGUGUAAGUACAGUUCUGUGUGACCGGCUAACUGGCCAGGAGACUGUGUCUCUGUUCUUGUCUGUGUAAUGCUACGUAAGUACUGCCAAAUUCUUGGGCAUGAGGUCUCCUUGUGUCAGUAUCUUGCAGACCAUUUCCCCAUUUGUUGAUACUCAUUCUUUAGUUUAAUUAGAGGACAGUUGAGUGUUGUGCAGUUUUCUCCGGUUGCCCAUGGUUGGGGAGGUGCACUGGCUGUGGUGAUGCAAGAGCAGCAGUUAUCAUGUAGGAUGGGCAGAAGGUCCCCAGCAGUUGAAAGCUCACAGUUGCCUCAGCUACACACUUUUCUUUUUUGAGACAGGGUCUCGCUCUGUCACCCAGGCUGGAAUGCAGUGGCAUGAUCAUGGCUCUCUGCAGCCUCAAACUCCUGGGUUCAAGUGAUCCUACCACCACAGCCUCCUGAGUAGCUGGGACUACAGGCACACACCACAAUGCCCAGCUCAUUUUUUAUUUUUUUGUAGAGAUGGGUCCCCACUAUGUUGCCCAAGCUUGUUACACUUUUUAAAUACUUAAGACCUAACAAUAUCAUUUGAAACCAAAUCAUUCCAUUUCACUCUCUUUAUACCUUAAGGAAAACAGAGGCAUCCUUUCAUAGUCUUUGAGAGUCACAAAAUUUGGGUGGCAAGAAAUGAGGGUUGGCUAGACGUGGUGGCUCACACCUCUAAUCCCA